This 558-nucleotide long non-coding RNA is filed under the name Homo sapiens (human). RNAcentral's name for it is "non-protein coding lnc-FAM8A1-2:9". Lineage: Eukaryota; Metazoa; Chordata; Mammalia; Primates; Hominidae. The record is from RNAcentral.
GUUCAACAACGGAACGCGGCUUCUCGGAAAGGAAGAGGGACGGGGAAGGAGAUCUCCGGGGCGCCGCAGAGGCACAAAGCCAAGGGACACACGGGGCUGGAAUUCUGGUUCUGCCACCCAACCUAUUUGACCUUGGAUGAAUCAAAACCGUCUGAGCCUUAGCUUCCUCCUCCAUAAAAUGGGAGCUUUAAAAUCCACCUUAUAAAGCUGUUGUGAGGAGCAGACGUGAUCAUCUAUGGAGAGCAUGUAUAUUUGCUAAUAGACGAAAAAUGCGAUGAAUGAUUACAAUUAUAACCCAUGCAGUCAGCUAACAUUAGGGGCACUCCUUGCCAUUUCCUGUUGCUACCAUACUUUAUUAUUUUAAAGUGUAUUCCUGGUCAGGCAUGUGGCUCACACCCAUAAUCUCAGCACUUUGGGAAGCCAAGGCAGGAGGAUCACUUGAGGCCAGGAGAUUGAAACCAGCCUGGGCAACAUAACGAGACCCCUUCUCUACAAAGAAAUGAAAAAAUUAGUUGAGCUUAGUGGUGUGCACCUGUAGUCCCAGCUACUAGGGAGGCU